UACGUAGGGUGCGAGCGUUGUCCGGAAUUAUUGGGCGUAGAGGGCUCGUAGGCGGUUUGUCACGUCGGGAGUGAAAACUCGGGGCUUAACCCCGAGCCUGCUUCCGAUACGGGCUGACUAGAGGUAUGCAGGGGAGAACGGAAUUCCUGGUGUAGCGGUGAAAUGCGCAGAUAUCAGGAGGAACACCGGUGGUGAAGGCGGUUCUCUGGGCAUUACCUGACGCUGAGGAGCGAAAGUGUGGGGAGCGAACAGG
This 253-nucleotide ribosomal RNA is filed under the name uncultured bacterium. RNAcentral describes it as "partial 16S ribosomal RNA". It matches the Rfam family "Bacterial small subunit ribosomal RNA", at positions 524 to 776 of the family's 1533-position model. The record is from RNAcentral.